AAUGGUGGAGGAGGCGUCGUCUUCAUCGGCGGCGGAGGAGCGGCGGAGGCGGAGGAGCUUGGUGAAGGUUCUUUUAAUGGAGGCGAGGUGAGUGGGAGGGGUUGGGCGCAACGUUUCCAUGGCCAUUGUCGCUUCUCUUCUCCUUCUUCUUCUUCUUCUUCUUCUUCUUCUUUGAGGAAUUUGUUCUCUCUUGCAGGCUACACGGAGGGUUUUAGCUUCGCCAGCUAUUAUAUGGAGAGUAGUGACAACGGUAAGAAUCUUUCGCUCCGUUCGAAACGAGCUUUUCAGAGGUUUUGUUUUGGCUUUUGUUUAAAAAAGAUAAUAAUGCGGAGAGAAGGAGAUAUUAAUUUUUUUAAAAAUUUUUAAGAACGGAGGAAGGAGGUGCAAGAAGGUGCUGGUAGAUUCUCUACAAACUCUGGUGGAUCAUCGAUCUGCAGGUGCGCCGCGCAAUCUUCAUCUGUGAUUCAAUGGUCAUAAUCUAAAUUUCUCUGCUCUCACAGACGUAUUAAUUCCCUUAUCCUAUUAGUUGUUACAUUUGAAAUGUGAAAUGCUAAAACAAAUUACUAAUUAUGAUAUGUUCAAAAUCUACUCAACAAACACUUAAGAAUAAAUUGCAUUCGAUUAAACAAUAGUACGAGUACUUGCUAUUAUUAUAAUAUUUAAAAGUGUUAGAAAAGUUAGUAUACAACCAAUCAAAAGUAAAACUAGCAAACACCGAGGUGGCGAGGUCCCAACUUUCGCACAAUAUUCCCCCAUUAUUUGGAUUCUCGUGUUAAUAGGAGCAUGUCCCCCAUUAAAGGUAAUGAAGCAGAGGAUUAAAAUAAGCAAGGAAAUGAGCUUUGGUUUAUUGGGAGUAGAGAAAUCUUGGAAUAAUGCAGGACCAGUGGCAGCGAACCUAAAUCAUGCUCGGUUGUCAGGGGUUAUUAGAUUCGUUUUACAAAUUUAAAAAAGUGUCAUAAAUUAAUCUGAUUAGGUUCCAUUUAUUAAAAAAAUAUACAUAUGAUUAAUUUAGCCGAGUAGGCCAAUUGAGUUAAAGCAGGGACUGGUGCUGUACUGCUGUGGACCAGAUCGUCUCUUUGCCCACCUGCAACCCACUUAGCUUGCCUAUCAAUCACUUUGCAGCGUAGCCCUGUACUAGCAAAAUAUUCUUAU
Molecule: long non-coding RNA, 1152 nt
Filed under: Ananas comosus (pineapple)
Lineage: Eukaryota; Viridiplantae; Streptophyta; Magnoliopsida; Poales; Bromeliaceae
Description: long non-coding RNA (ACOM_LNC008177)
Source: RNAcentral